This 257-nucleotide ribosomal RNA is filed under the name uncultured bacterium. Its description in RNAcentral is "partial 16S ribosomal RNA". It matches the Rfam family "Bacterial small subunit ribosomal RNA", at positions 524 to 776 of the family's 1533-position model. The record is from RNAcentral.
UACGGAGGGUGCAAGCGUUAUCCGGAUUUACUGGGUUUAAAGGGUGCGCAGGCGGAUAUGUAAGUCAGUGGUGAAAUCUCUAGGCUUAACCUGGAAAUUGCCGUUGAUACUAUAUAUCUUGAAUGCUGUGGAGGUAAGCGGAAUAUGUCAUGUAGCGGUGAAAAUGCUUAGAUAUGACAUAGAACACCUAUUGCGAAAGGCAGCUUACUACGCAGAUAUUGACGCUCAUGCACGAAAAGCGUGGGGGAUCAAACAGG